AUGUCAGCGGCAGACGGGUGAGUAACGCGUGGGAACGUACCUCUUGGUUCGGAACAACACAGGAAAACUUGUGCUAAUACCGGAUAAGCCCUUACGGGGAAAGAUUUAUCGCCGAAAGAUCGGCCCGCGUCUGAUUAGCUAGUUGGUGAGGUAACGGCUCACCUAUGCGACGAUCAGUAGCUGGUCUGAGAGGAUGAUCAGCCACAUUGGGACUGAGACACGGCCCAAACUCCUACGGGAGGCAGCAGUGGGGAAUAUUGGACAAUGGGCGCAAGCCUGAUCCAGCCAUGCCGCGUGAGUGAUGAAGGCCCUAGGGUUGUAAAGCUCUUUUGUGCGGGAAGAUAAUGACGGUACCGCAAGAAUAAGCCCCGGCUAACUUCGUGCCAGCAGCCGCGGUAAUACGAAGGGGGCUAGCGUUGCUCGGAAUCACUGGGCGUAAAGGGUGCGUAGGCGGGUCUUUAAGUCACGGGUGAAAUCCUGGAGCUCACUCCAGAACUGCCUUUGAUACUGAAGAUCUUGAGUUCGGGAGAGGUGAGUGGAACUG
RNAcentral lists this ribosomal RNA (544 nucleotides) under Bradyrhizobium sp. Gc147. RNAcentral describes it as "bacterial SSU rRNA". It matches the Rfam family "Bacterial small subunit ribosomal RNA", at positions 89 to 669 of the family's 1533-position model. Lineage: Bacteria; Pseudomonadati; Pseudomonadota; Alphaproteobacteria; Hyphomicrobiales; Nitrobacteraceae. The record is from RNAcentral.